Molecule: ribosomal RNA, 671 nt
Filed under: Pseudosperma sororium
Lineage: Eukaryota; Fungi; Basidiomycota; Agaricomycetes; Agaricales; Inocybaceae
Description: eukaryotic LSU rRNA
Rfam family: Eukaryotic large subunit ribosomal RNA
Source: RNAcentral
UUGACCUCAAAUCAGGUAGGACUACCCGCUGAACUUAAGCAUAUCAAUAAGCGGAGGAAAAGAAACUAACAAGGAUUCCCCUAGUAACUGCGAGUGAAGCGGGAAAAGCUCAAAUUUGAAAUCUGGCAGUUCUUUACUGUCCGAGUUGUAAUCUAGAGAAGUGUUACCUGUGCUGGACCGUGUACAAGUCUUCUGGAAUGGAGCAUCAUAGAGGGUGAGAAUCCCGUCUUUGACAUGGACUACCUGUACAUUAUGGUGCGCUCUCAAAGAGUCGAGUUGUUUGGGAAUGCAGCUCAAAAUGGGUGGUAAAUGCCAUCUAAAGCUAAAUAUUGGCGAGAGACCGAUAGCGAACAAGUACCGUGAGGGAAAGAUGAAAAGAACUUUGGAAAGAGAGUUAAACAGUACGUGAAAUUGCUGAAAGGGAAACGCUUGAAGUCAGUCGCGUUGGCUAGAAAUCAACCUGGCUUUUGCCUGGUGUACUUUCUGGUUGAUGGGUCAGCAUCAAUUUUGACCGCUGGAUAAAGUCACUGGGAAUGUAGCAUCUUUGGAUGUGUUAUAGCCCGUUGUCGCAUACAGUGGUUGGAAUUGAGGAACUCAGCACGCCGCAAGGCCGGGUUUUUAAACCACGUUCGUGCUUAGGAUGCUGGCAUAAUGGCUUUAAUCGACCCGUC